UGGUGGAGUGAUUUGUCUGGUUAAUUCCGAUAACGAACGAGACCUUAACCUGCUAAAUAGACACGCGAACCUUCGUUCGCGCUGCGCUUCUUAGAGGGACUGUGAGCAUCUAGCUCGCGGAAGUUUGAGGCAAUAACA
RNAcentral lists this ribosomal RNA (138 nucleotides) under uncultured eukaryote. RNAcentral's name for it is "partial 18S ribosomal RNA". It matches the Rfam family "Eukaryotic small subunit ribosomal RNA", at positions 1299 to 1458 of the family's 1831-position model. The record is from RNAcentral.